RNAcentral lists this long non-coding RNA (2889 nucleotides) under Stylophora pistillata. RNAcentral's name for it is "uncharacterized LOC111332455". Lineage: Eukaryota; Metazoa; Cnidaria; Anthozoa; Scleractinia; Pocilloporidae. The record is from RNAcentral.
CCCCUUGAAAACUAAGACCCCUCGAGACCUAAGACCCCUCAAAAGCUAAGACCCCUCGAAACCAAAGACCCCUGGAAAGACUGGUUCAGGAUUGUGGUUUUCGCGCUUGAAAAGCACUUCAAAACUAAGACCCUGUUUGAAUUCAUGGCCAAUUAUAGUGCAAUUAAGUUACCCAACAAUUGAAUACAGUUUGAGUCACGACUUUUGAGAAUUUCACAAUAGUUCAAUUCAGUCCUCAACACUUAGUUACUUACUGUAUAUGUUAAAGAAUUCUCUUCAUGUGCCAUGUUUUGAGCGAAAGGCCAUUCUGACUAUCAUGCUAGAAAAUUUUGCUUUUGCAACAAAGAAAAAAUUAGAAGACCCCUGAAAAAUGCAUUCUGAACAUCAAGCACUGUUAAUGGCCCCUGCGAUUCAGUAGUUUGUUUCCCUCUUUUAAAGCUGUGGUACGUCCAUCGCAUGGUUGGUUGCUUGACGGCUGUGUGGGUUUUCAAUAUCUUCCAAUGCUAUUUAUAUAUCAUUGAUGCAAAUUGUAAUUCACACCAGGCCGAACAUUUUCCUGAAAAAGGUCUGCCCUGAAAUACGAAUUACCCAUUUACCUCAAUAUCCAAGUGACAUUGGAUAAUGUGACUCCAUGGCUGAUUGUAUUUAGAAGGGAUGGUAAGACCCAAAAAUCAACAUUUGGUCAUACAUGCCGCAAGUUCUAAAUAUGCAGAUAUGAUGGUCUAAUCAAAGUUCAUGUAACUAAUGACCCCAUUGAUCCGGCUAAAGUUUUUUUGCACCACAGAAAAGGACUUAUGACAAGGUGAGAACUGACCUUACAAAUCACAACAUAUCCAACAUAUCAAACGUGCCAAACAUAUUAUGGAAAGUUACAAAAACUCUACCAUGGGAAAGAAGAUGAACUGAGCUGGUCAUGAAUUGUUGUCAUUUAACACUUUACUGCUCAAGAAUACUUGAAGAAUACUACCGGAUGUCACACGUGAGAGCUGCGAUCAGAAAAGCUUAUCCCGGCAAAAAAUUGCGUUUAAAGGUUCCUGAAAAUUGAAAACGGGCAACUUAUACUAGCAGAAUAUGUUAAAACAGCCUUUUGCUUGAAACGUAUACAUCAAAAGCAUUCUCUGCUGCGUUGACGUAAGGCACUGUUAAUUAUGUACUUGGUAAUUCAGGCCCUGUCCACACUAAUGCAUGGUGAAUUUUAUUUAAUGAGGAAAGAGAAACAGAAAGCUCACUUUUUCUUUCUGAAUUAAACAGACGGUGUAAAUUUAGCAGUGAAAAGUUUACUUAUCUAUAUUCAACAUUUAAUUUUGCAGCUCAAUAGCCUGCGUGUAAUCACCUCAAGUAAAAUUCACGAUCUCCCAAGUUGUAGCUCCUCCAGAUUGUAAAGAUCACCUUGGCUUGGGCGUAAAACAUGCACAAGAGUACACAAUCCUGGCUUAAAAUCAAUGACAUUUUGAAUUACCAGUUAUGUAAAGGACAUGAACACCAAAUUAGUAAAGUUGCCUGUCAACUGAUUAUCCCUCUUUCCGUAAAGGAAAUGUGCAGUCAGUUUUUUUGAGUUGAAGAGUUGCCAUGUGGAAGCUUUUCUAGAAAUAAUAAUUUUACAGACUCAACAGCAAGAUUUUUGCAUUGUUUUUAUCCAAACAAUUCUGCAAACUAUUUAAUAGGCAAAUGAGGAACAUGCUUGUUUACAUAUGCUUAUCUAAAUGAAAGAAGGGUUGGGAUAAUUCAAGAAAAUUAUGUAAACUUUUGGGAAUUCUCCCAACCUUUCAGAUGGCUUGCCCUGCACUGACUGGCCAACUAUGUUUGACUGCUUGGCAGACUUAGACUGAUUAAUUGACAAACUGAAUGACAGAAAUGCUCUAGGUGAUUAGCAGAGUUGGUGGAAUAGAUAAUGCAGUGUACAGGAAAGGGAAUGAAGUGCAUUCUCACCCAUAUUGGAAGAUAGUUCCCGAUAAUUCAGAAGUCCACAAGUGAGCAUGUCUAAAUGUGUUCAUUGUCGUUGAACAUCGAAUUAUUUUCGGUUUUAAAACGAAGAUCAAGGGAGACGAGAGGACUAUAUUUGCGGUUCUACCGCAAAGAAUACAAGUUUAAAGAGAAGUGAUACCUUUAUUUACCCUCGGCAGUGUUUAUAGCACAAGUGCUAGUGGGGCCGAGCAAACAACUGAAACAAAUCAUUCUAAUAGAACAUAACAGAAGAUCAACAAAGGAGAAAAGAAUCCUAUACAUUUGAUACCACAAAGAGUACAAGUUUAAAAGGAAGGUCAAGGAAGACGAUAAUACUGUCCGUAAAUAUCAGUCUUGGAGAGGAUUUCGAUUUGUUUCAGCGUUUAGGAAUUCUACUUCGUUUCUAUUUCUGAAAAUGUAUUUUAGAGGUACGAUUUGAAGAGGAAAAAAAGCAAAGAAGAAACGAAAAGGUCAGGGAAGUGUUUGCGUUGAAGAGAAGGAGAAAUUGGUCAACAAUACACUCCAAAUUCUCGCACGUAAGACUUGCUCACUUACACAUUACAGUCAGCCAGGUUUUGAUGAGAUUAUUUUACAAAUUUAUUGUGCAUUCAUUAUUAUAAUAAUUACAGAAUAAAGGAAGGCAUAAAAAAUGGGGGGAACCCGUCCACCACCCCCUACCUCUAUCUUAUUUUAUAGAUAUUAUGAAAAUGACCAUCUCAUACAAGUGACUAAGAGAAAUGUCAACCCUGGAAGGAAAGAAAAAAUCAGGGGUCGCCAGACGCAUGCGUUUGUUAUAAAUGCAUGCACCACAAAGUAGAUAACUUUGAGAAAGUCUUAAGAAAGUUAUUUGAAGGUCGGGCGAGGUGGUGGAGGUUAGUUGGGUGAAUAAUGAAACUGUCUAAAAGUAAUCACUGUUGUAAAAUCAAUGUAUUAUAAGAUUGUAAG